RNA transcript from Cebus imitator (Panamanian white-faced capuchin), 2930 nucleotides. It is a transcript of the gene named ribosome biogenesis protein BMS1 homolog, with no coding region annotated. The transcript has 9 exons. The record is from RefSeq and is a predicted model, not a curated record. NCBI's taxonomy places the organism in Eukaryota, Metazoa, Chordata, Mammalia, Primates, Cebidae.
GGUGGCCAGGUCUGGCGGGGCGUGUUGGAUGCGGGACCCCCGAGCCCUACUGCAGCCGCCACCAAGCAUGGCGAAGAGCAGUGUGAGCCUCUUCCCCACCGAGUAUGGCAGGCCACCGCUCAGAGGCUAUCCCAGGUUAGAGUUACUUGUUACUGGUAAAUAGCCACUAUGGAGGCUAAGGACCAGAAGAAACACAGAAAGAAAAACAGUGGGCCCAAAGCUGAAAAGAAAAAGAAGUGGCAUCUGCAGGAUCUCCAACUAGGAGACAAGGAAGAUGCCCGGAAGAGAAACCCCAAAGCUUUUGCAGUUCAGUCUACUGUGCAGAUGGCUUGAUCCUUUCACUGGACUCAGGAUUUAAAGACAAAGAAGCAUCAUAUUCCAGUGGUUGAUCGAACUCCACUAGAGCCCCCACCAAUGGUGGUGAUGGUGAUGGGGCCUCCAAAAGUUGGAAAGAGCACUUUGAUACAGUGCCUCAUCAGAAGUUCACCUGGCAGAAGUUGACUGAGAUCUAAGGCCCUGUGAUGGUCGUGUCAGGGUGGAAGAUUUGACAAACCGAGAGGAUAUACAAACAAACAUCAAAUGUGACCAGAAGGUGUCACUUUAUGGAUGAGGUGGGGUCCACUUAUGAGCUGGUCCAGAGUCUCAUCUCCACCCACUCCAUCAUUGAUACCAAGAUGGCUUCAAGUCGAGUGAUGCUGUUUUCUGAUUCCAAGCCACUUGGGUCAGAGGAUAUAGAUAAUCAAGGGCUGUUGAUGCCAAAGGAAGAAAAACAAAUGGACUUGAAAGUGAUUGAAUGCGUCAGAAAGCCAUUUUUGCAGAUGAAGAUGGAUGUGGAGAUAGUGAUGAUGAAGAUGAAAUUUCCGAAGAUGACAGAUUGGAAACCAUCUCUAGUGAUGAGGAAGCAGAAGAGGAGGAAAACGCUGAGGUGACUGAUCAGUAUAAGACUGCUAAGGGCAUCAAACGAGGGAAGCUUGAGGAGUUGGAAGAAGACAGUGAAGUAGAUUUGCCAGCAUUUGCUGACUGUGAUGAUGAGCUUGAGGGGAGCUCAGCAGAAGGGGAAGUGGAAUAAGCUGGGGAAAGCAGUGAGGAAGAGGACUGCACUGCAGGAGAGAGGGGCAUUUCAGGAUCAAAGACUGUCACCAGCUAAUCCCCAGAGUGACCCUGUAAAUCUGGAGAAGUCUUUGUUGAUGAAGAAAGCAGCCCUCACUUCUUCGUUUCUGGGCAUUGCCCAGCUGACAAGGCAUUUGCAUCUGAAGAUGAAUCUGAAGAAAGCUCUUUACUCAGUGCAGAGGAAGAGGACCUGGAAAAUGAGGACACUUUUAGGAAAAAGGUUUCAGAGCCUUCUCAAGUGGGUAGUGGUCAGAAACUGGGGUGAAGAAACUUAAUUGAUGAAACCAGUAAUAUAGAAGUUUUACUCAAAGAAGAAGAUUGCAAGGAAGAGAAGAAUGAUUCCACAGAAGCCUCAGGUGCCCUCAAGUGGAAGGAAGACCUUUCCAGAAAGGCACUGAGGCCUUUCUGAGGCAGCAACAAGCAGCUCCAAACCUCCAAAAGCUUAUUUAUGGGACAGUGACAGAAGAUAAUGAAGAAGAUGAUACCUGAGAAGAGCUUGGAGGGUUGUUUCGUGUCAGCCAGCCUGACAGCGUGGAAGCACAAGGCCGACUCUUUGGACUGCUUCAGAUUUCUUGUGGAGGUGCCCCAUGACUGGGAUUUAGAGGAGAUAUCAGAAGAGAGAAGUUGAAUAAAGGAAGAACAUAGAAAAGAUUGGUCAAAAAGUUAGAAGAACAUAGAAAAGAUGUCGUUGGAGACACAAACAUUUUAUUAAUUUUUGGAAAAUUUAGGGCCAAUUUGUUGUGUAAGAAAUUUGAAUUUGUGAUCAUACCUGUGACUGUUUUUUGAUAUUUUUCUGGUUCAGCUGAGUGGUGUCACUAAGCCAACACAAAGUGGGGCUCAUCCAGGGAUGAGAUUUUGCCAGAGAAAGGACGAGCAGCAAGUCAGGGAGCUUAAGGCAAUUAUUAGAAAGUGACUGUCUAAAAUUGCUUAGGUGGAAAGAGACAGAUUGGAUUUCUCUGUUUGGUAUUUGGGGGAAGAGGUGUGUGAGUAUGUACGUGAGAUGUGUUGUUCAUUCUCCUGAGAGCUAAAACGGGGGGAUUAAUGGACUGCAGUUCUGGACAAGGUGGAAAACUCUUAAAGUGGAAGUACUGGGGUAAGUGCUCUGACAGGCUGGGAUGGUGUAGUCAGUCCCUUUACCUGGAAAUCAGUAGAAUGUUAGCAGUCCAGACUCAAACUUUGUAAAAAUCAGGUGGAGAAAAGGAAGUCCCUCACAGUAACUGGCACCAUAAUCAAGACAGAAUGUUUCCAGAACAAAUGGAGUUAUCUGCUUUCAGCCCCAGGUGGUAGCUGUUCUCUGCCCUGAUGAUAUGUGAUAAUAAUUUCUGAUCCUCAUGUCUUAAAAUGGAGUCACUCAUCUCCAGUAGAAUUAAGCCUACAGUGAAGUUGUCCCCCCAUCCCCAAAGAGAUAAACACAUGUGAAUGGGCUGAGGUGAUAACAAUUAUUGCUGCCUGAGAUCAUGAGAGACCUGAAGUGAACUGAUAGGAAGCAGAAGGUGGCUGAGAACAAGAGAAUGGACCCAUCUGCAGAGGAUCAUAAAACCAACAGAGACAAGAUCUUGUCUAAGAUGUUUUCAGAAGCUUUGUCCAUGAGAACUGUAAGGACUUCUCCAGACCUGGUGGCUGCUGCUAUGAUCUCUGCCCCAAAGGAGCAUCUGACCAUCAUCCAAAGGGCUUCUGGACCCACUGGAUUCUUCUGGAGGUACAUUGGUCUCUUGAGCCAUCACUGUGGUUUUUUACUUCCUUUAUUCCUGCCUGUGUGUAGAAUGAUAAUUGCCUAAUUGAUAGUGUGAAUGAAUACCUCUUGACAAAUGUAACUCUGA